UGGGGAAUUUUCCGCAAUGGGCGCAAGCCUGACGGAGCAAUACCGCGUGAGGGAGGAAGGCUUUUGGGUUGUAAACCUCUUUUCUCAAGGAAGAAGCACUGACGGUACUUGAGGAAUCAGCAUCGGCUAACUCCGUGCCAGCAGCCGCGGUAAUACGGAGGAUGCAAGCGUUAUUCGGAAUUAUUGGGCGUAAAGCGUCCGCAGGUGGUGCCUCAAGUCUGCUGUCAAAGACCGAAGCUCAACUUCGGGCAGGCAGUGGAAACUGCAUAACUAGAGUGCGUUCGGGGCAGAGGGAAUUCCUGGUGUAGCGGUGAAAUGCGUAGAUAUCAGGAAGAACACCGGUGGCGAAAGCGCUCUGCUAGGCCGCAACUGACACUGAGGGACGAAAGCUAAGGGAGCGAAUGGGAUUAGAUACCCCCGUAGUCC
This 426-nucleotide ribosomal RNA is filed under the name uncultured prokaryote. RNAcentral describes it as "bacterial SSU rRNA". It matches the Rfam family "Bacterial small subunit ribosomal RNA", at positions 355 to 796 of the family's 1533-position model. The record is from RNAcentral.